Molecule: long non-coding RNA, 1730 nt
Organism: Mustela lutreola (European mink)
Lineage: Eukaryota; Metazoa; Chordata; Mammalia; Carnivora; Mustelidae
Exons: 5
Source: RefSeq, a predicted model, not a curated record
UGCAAGAUGGCACACGGAGGCAAAGAACGGGAGCUAAAGCAUCUGCAGCUGGACCCCAACCAGAGCAGUUUGCAAAAAUAAAUAAGAAGCAUGUGACAAGAAGCAGAUUCCCCAGGCUGGAGCUGAAGCCCUGGAUUUCCCCACACGCCCUCCUCCUGCUUCCCUCAGCAAGCCAGGAUGAAGAUAUACCUACUUCUAACGUGGCUGUCGUUGGCAUCAUAUCCCACUCCAAAACAUCUUUUGAGCAGAGGAAAUAGACGUGAAUUAUAAAGUGAGAGACAGUUUCUUCUCUACUCUGCAAUUUAGUAGAAAAAAACUUUUACUCAAUGACAAAUCAGAGGAGAAAUGCAGCAGGAUGAUUUUACAUUAGAAAAAUCAAAGAUUUUCAAAACUACAAUGAGAUACCACCUCACACCAGUCAGAAUGGCAAAGAUUUAACAAGAAAUUCCUCAAGGAUAUCAUCAAUGAUAGCUGCAAUUGGCAUGAACUGGCAAUCCUUAACUUAUAAAUAGCCUCCAUCCCUGUCCCCCCCCCCCACCAGGGGCUCUGCUGCCAUAGAAACAGUUGUUAAUAAACAUGGGUAUUUAGAGAAUCUGUGGGUUCAGAAAUGAAGGAAGAGAAAGUCUGUGAAAAGCAGGAAUUGCUAAAGGGUGCUAAUUCCAGGGAUGGAACUCCGAGGUAGGAUGAGUAGGGAUCUCUUGACCUAAAAUGUACUUUUGUAGCACUGCCUGGGGGGCUUUUCCCCCUUCUGUUAUAUUGCCUGAAAUUUCACCAAAUAGAGAUUGGUUUCUACGUGUCAAAUGUUCUCUUAUAUCUAUAAAUAUCUAUGUGUGGCAGUUAUUCUUAGUGACCUUACUAAUACCCAUUCUGUGUUGCUCACUGUAAUUUUCUUAGGGACCAUGGUGUAACCAGCUUUAAGUAAAAAAACCUUGGUUAAAGCCAGUCAUGACAAUCCUAUUCCAUUUUGCCAGUGAUCCUGAAGACAAGUCUAUUGACUUUAGGGAAGGCUUUUGUUUUCCUGAUAAAGGGACCAUAGGUGGUUGGUACUCUCCUUUUUCUACUUUCUUUGUGCCUUGAAUGCAGAUAUGAAGCUGGGAGAUGUAGGAGCCAUCUUGUAAUCAUGAGAUGACAAGUAUGAGGCUGAAAAUGUGAUUCCAAACAAAUGGAGGAUCAUGGAGGAGAUAGAUCAUGAGAGUUUGGAACAUUGUUGGACAAUAAAUCCAAUCUUGGACUGCCUACCUCCAGGCUUAUUUUGAGGGGAAAAUUUGGGGGGGGGUGAAGGUUUUAACCUUUGUUAUAUGAUAGCAAAGCUUUGAUUAACCUGUGACUGCUGCUUCUUGGAAGGCUGACUAUGUGCCUCUGAAGCUGCAGUGUUAGGAAAAGCUUAGAAUAUUGUCAUGUGUUGGUUACUUUUUGUGACUUUUCUGAAGGAUCCUAGAGAAGGGGGUGAACUCAGAUUAGUGCUCCUCAGCAUGAGAGCAGAGAGGGCAACAAAAUACAGCGUAGGUUCAGAAGUAUUCUGGCUUUAGCUCACAGUCUAAGUUGACAAAGAGUCCCAUAUUUUGGAAUUUUGUAGGGAUUGAGGGAAGUACCUCCUCACCUAAGACUAUUUCUACAAUUGCUUCAAAUCUUUUAUGAGAGUUCAGUAGCUAAGAGAUGAAGAUCUCCAAGCCUAAAAAUUAUUUCAAGAAAUAUUCUUUGGCUGUGUUUACUCCCAGGAAUUGAUCUGA